UCUCCCAAAUCUCUCUAAGUAUGUGAAAUCUCUCUCACAUAUCUCUUUGUAUGUGAAAUCUCUCCCAAAUCUCUCCAAGUAUGUCAAAUCUCUCCCAAAUCUCUCCAAGUAUGUCAAAUCUCUCCCAAAUCUCUCUAAGAAUGUGAAAUCUCUCUCACAUAUCUCUUUGUAUGUGAAAUCUCUCCAAGUAUGUCAAAUCUCUCCCAAAUCUCUCUAAGUAUGUGAAAUCUCUCCCAAAUCUCUCUAAGUAUGUGAAAUCUCUCUCACGUAUCUCUUUGUAUGUGAAAUCUCUCCAAGUAUGUCAAAUCUCUCCCAAAUCUCUCCAAGUAUGUCAAAUCUCUCCCAAAUCUCUCUAAGUAUGUGAAAUCUCUCUCACAUAUCUCUUUGUAUGUGAAAUCUCUCCAAGUAUGUCAAAUCUCUCCCAAAUCUCUCUAAGUAUGUGAAAUCUCUCUCACGUAUCUCUUCGUAUGCGAAAUCUCUCCAAGUACGUCAAAUCUCUCCCAAAUCUCUCUGAGAACGAGGAAUCUCUCUCAAAUCUCUCUCGAAAUCUCUCCCAACUUUCUAUAAUCACUCGGGGCAUCCCGACCCUCGAAUUUGGCGAAAAUAGCCCAAAAACGGAAGUCUACGCGAAAAACGGACUUAAGGAAACGAACCCUCCGAACCGAAAGUACUAUUCAUGAACCGAACCGAAAGUACUAUUCAUGAAGGUCCGAACCGAGACUACUGUUCAUCCGAGCCGAACCUCGCAUAGAAGGAAGGUCCGAACCGAGACUACUGUUCAUCCGAGCCGAACCUCGCAUAGAAGGAAGGUCCGAACCGAGACUACUGUUCAUCCGAGCCGAACAUCGCAUAAGAGGAAGAACCGAACCCGAAGGUACUGUUCAUUACUGUUCACAACAGUUCCUUCGGUUCUGGCUUCCCUUCGGACCGAACCUGCUUCCGCUUCUCGCCUUCGCUUC
This 959-nucleotide long non-coding RNA is filed under the name Lactuca sativa (garden lettuce). RNAcentral describes it as "long non-coding RNA (LSAT_LNC004455)". Lineage: Eukaryota; Viridiplantae; Streptophyta; Magnoliopsida; Asterales; Asteraceae. The record is from RNAcentral.